Eucalyptus grandis is the source of this 2670-nucleotide long non-coding RNA. RefSeq lists it as uncharacterized. The record is from RefSeq and is a predicted model, not a curated record. The transcript has 2 exons. Lineage: Eukaryota; Viridiplantae; Streptophyta; Magnoliopsida; Myrtales; Myrtaceae.
CUUGCCUGGCGCACCCCACCAAGUCCCAGUUGAAAUGAAUUUUCUACUUAUGCUCCGGAGGAAAUCUUUUCGCGUCGCGUGCUUUCAUCUUUCAUUACUCUGUUUUGCCCUCUUUCUCGUUCUGCCCUCUUUCUCACAAAACCUAGGCUUCUGAUCUCAUCGUCCUCCUCCUUAGACGCCGACGAUUAGCAGUAGCAGGGCCGGCGGUGCUGGAUCUCCGCCCUCACGAAGCCCUGUGAUCUCGUCCUCCUCCUUCGACGCCGAUGAUUAGCAGCAGCGGAGCCUCCCCCAUUUAGCGCACCUGCAAUUCGAUCGACAAAUAAAAAACCCCAAAAGCAAAAGCCCAAAUCUGCAGAGCUCUCGACCCACGCCGACCUCAGAUCUCCUCAUAGCCGCUGCCCUCGUCUUCUACUGGCUCCUCUACUCCGUCACCCACCUCGUCGUCCGCAUCGAGCAGCUCAGCCAGCGGCUCGAGCGGCUCAAGGCCCGCGAUUGAUCCCGCCGCCGCCCCGCCCCCGCGAGAUGAGUGGAUUUUCCUCAAGAUGGCGUUCCUGGUUUUAUCCGUCCGUUCUUUUUCUUUUUCUUUUUCUUUUUUCGAUUUUGCUGUCUGAAUACGCUCGGUGAUGUUCGAAUAUUUUCUGGAAUGAUCUCUCGACAUGGAAUCUGAAUAUAAUGUCUGUUGGCGUUUCAUCUGUGUGGAGAUCUUGUAGUGUUGUGGCUAGCUUUCGGUUCGUUGUGCUGGUCAUUGUGGGAUUUGAAGAUGAAGGUGGAGGUAACCUGAGGGUUGGAUUUGGUAACAUCGUCGAGUAGUGUCAGGCGAGGGGGUUGCAUUGACUCGCAGAUUCAUUCUGUGACUUUCUGGGGUGGUUCAAUUGAAAUGUUGUUCAUGCCUAGGGUUUCAAAGAAAGCUUAUUUGGGAUCCAAACCAUGUUAAACUAUUCUCAAGCAUAAUGGUUAGAAAAUAUUUUAUUUACCGAACACCGGAAAACAUUUUCCGAAACAUUUUUAACUUUUAGCCGAACACCGAAAAAUUGUCAUUUUCCUAGAAAAUGACUUCCAGGAAAAUAUUUUUCAGAAUUGGCCAAUUUUCCGUGAAACGAACGGAGCAUUAGUCAUCUGUUUGCUACUCUCGUAAAGAAACGAAUUGACGGGUCUAUUGUAUUACCUAUGCUAUCUUCCAUUACUGUCAUUAUUCAAAAACGUUCAUGCUAUGCUUCUAUGCUCCUAUACAUUUCGCACAAUACAGUGAAUCUAAUAAACAACGCGCAUGAGAUAGUUGGCUGGGUUUGGACGCCUUUGUGACAGGUUCUGACACGCCGAAACUAUGCAGUAGAAACUGGGACACAUUUCCACGUCAUAAAUUUGAACUUUAGACAGAUUUCUCAACGGAAGAGCCUUUGAGCAGCGCAUACUUAUCGAGGAUUUCAGCCCUCUCGGUUGGCAGAAGUUUUCUUCUUCAGUUUCAAUCCCGGGAUGUCAGCAGUGGCAGUCUGAAUGUCUCACGGACAUCAGGUCUGCCCCGAUUUUCUGCUCAGAGAUCAUCCCAGCUAUUGCCGUCUUGUUCAACUUGAGGCAACUAACAACUUCGGCUCACCUAGAUUGGAGCUGAGAAUUUGUUCAUACAUUUCUUACGCAACCGACGACUUGGAAUCUGUUUGAGACUUCAAAUUCCCUCCUCUCUUCUUCAGCUCACUCGACUCUUCCUCAACUGACAAAUACUUGUCCUUCUUGGCCUGAAGAUCUCUGAAAAUUUUGUUAGGCUGCUCGGCAAUCUGGGAUUUCUUCUGUCGACUUCAACUUAAGCAGUCACUCAACAGUCAAGAAUGGAUUGCUUGCGAGCUUGUCUACCGGAGAACCUAUCUCUUCCAGGUUCUCUUAGGAUAACAAGCAUGAGAAAUCCAGGGCAACAAUGGAAUAUAUCUUCUUGUGAUUAGUAGACAUUUCCUCUGCCUAAUCAGAACCUGCAAAGUCAAAGGAGUUGACGCGUGAGCUUCAUCACGGUGCUGAGAAAGAAUAUGUUUCAAAGACUUCAAACAGUCAACUCCUUCACAGGAUUGAGCCUGGAGUUCCUGGACUUUUCCCACAUCUUGUGCUUUGAAAGCUUUCGAUGCAUAGCAGCUGGAAACGAUGCCUUGGUUGAUUACAGACGCUUCAUUUCCAGUGUUGCCUGGGGCUGGCAUUUGGUAAAUGGUUGAGUUCUGCACCUAGGGAACUGCAGAAACGUUUUAAUGUAGAAACGUUUAACAAAGUGGUAAGUAUUCAACAGAGAAUCAAGUGUGAAUUGAAAUCUCAUCAAGGAGAACAGGAGAUUUCAGCCACACGUUUAAUCUGUCGACAUGAAACGAGAAAAAAUUGCACCAGAAGGCAGGGAAGGAUGUUGGCACAUUGAUAUUCAUGAUUUCAUGGAAAUGGAAAUUGCCUGAGGGAGAUUUUAAGAUGAAUAGAGUACAGCUAGGCCAUUGGGAAAAGUAAUAUAGGCUGUAUGUCUGUAACUAUUCAAAUGUCCCAUAAGGCCAAUAAGGCCGUGUUGUUGUGCUUUCCUUGCAAUGGUUCACCUUUCAAAUGAAUGCAAAUCUGUUUCGAAUAUGUGCAAGCUCCGUCAUCUCUUCAUACGUAUGGACACUUUCACAGAAACUUGAGAAUGGACUAGUGGCACCAAGUUUGCUUUCA